GCCGCGCGGUUGUUUCCGCUGC
RNAcentral lists this unclassified non-coding RNA (22 nucleotides) under Chlamydomonas reinhardtii. RNAcentral's name for it is "small RNA Cre_1706". Lineage: Eukaryota; Viridiplantae; Chlorophyta; Chlorophyceae; Chlamydomonadales; Chlamydomonadaceae. The record is from RNAcentral.